GGAGAGAUGGCUCAGUGGUUAAGAGCACUGGUUGCUCUUCCAGAGGUCCUGAGUUCAAUUCCCAGCCAUCACCU
Mus musculus (house mouse) is the source of this 74-nucleotide non-coding RNA. NCBI's taxonomy places the organism in Eukaryota, Metazoa, Chordata, Mammalia, Rodentia, Muridae. The record is from Rfam.